CCUACGGGGGGCAGCAGUGGGGAAUAUUGCGCAAUGGGCGAAAGCCUGACGCAGCGACGCCGCGUGAGGGAUGAAGGUCUUCGGAUCGUAAACCUCUGUCAGCAGGGAAGAACGGUCACUGUGCUAAUCAGCAGUGAAUUGACGGUACCUGAAAAGGAAGCAUCGGCGAACUCCGUGCCAGCAGCUGCGGGAAUACGGAGGGUGCGAGCGUUAAUCGGAAUUACUGGGCGUAAAGCGCUCGUAGGCGGUAUGUCAAGUCAAGGGUGAAGUCCCCGCGCUCAACGUGGGAACUGCCUUUGAAACUGGCAGACUGGAGUGUGUGAGAGGAUAGUGGAAUUCCAGGUGUAGGAGUGAAAUCCGUAGAUAUCUGGAGGAACAUCAGUGGCGAAGGCGACUAACUGGCACAUAACUGACGCUGAGGAGCGAAAGCGUGGGUAGCAAACAGGAUUAGAUACCCGUGUAGUC
This 465-nucleotide ribosomal RNA is filed under the name uncultured bacterium. RNAcentral describes it as "partial 16S ribosomal RNA". It matches the Rfam family "Bacterial small subunit ribosomal RNA", at positions 338 to 795 of the family's 1533-position model. The record is from RNAcentral.